This 2359-nucleotide long non-coding RNA is filed under the name Sus scrofa (pig). Its description in RNAcentral is "lncRNA (ENSSSCG00040013449.1, ENSSSCG00050019213.1, ENSSSCG00060023751.1)". Lineage: Eukaryota; Metazoa; Chordata; Mammalia; Artiodactyla; Suidae. The record is from RNAcentral.
ACUGAAGGUCCGCCCAGCGCUGCCUGCGGGUUUAGCAAUCUUUCGGUUUAGAAAGUGGAUUGUUUUGUGCCUUUGCUGUCUUAUCUGGACCCUCUGAAUUGGCAAACUGAGAACAGGGAAGGCACAGCUAAUUGGGCAAGCAUGAAGAACCCAGGAGGCAGACCUACACCUCAAGUUUCUGUGAUGUCCUUUCAGGGUAUGUAAAAAGCUUUGGCUCCAUGAUCACUCUACCUGAAUUUCAAACUCGGGCUCUGAUGCUUAUCUGCCAGCCUCAGUUUACCCAUCUUUGAAGCAGAAGUAAUAAAUUACUUACCCCAUAAGGUUGUUAUAAGGGUUAAAUGAGCUUUUUCAUGUAAAACACUCAGAAAAGUGCUUGGCAUAUGUUAAAUAGGCAAUAAGUAGUAAUAGUUUGAAGUAGAAAGGAGAAUGAUAAUAUUGAUUCCCCCCCUCCUAGCAAUGUGUUAAACUCCUCAAGGAUGGAAGAAAAGUUUAUUUCCAACAGUGUCUAUGUUUGUCAUUGAGAAGUACUGAAAUAUUGCUGUGCUAUACCUGUCUUUUUUCUGCCUUUUUAACCUUCAGAACACAACUGUUUGCUGCAGCUUCUCUCUGAGUCUUCAAGGAGCAGGUUCUAGAUGAGAUUAAAUCGAUAAAGCACACCUUCAGGACCCCUCCUUUCCCCACCAGGUCACAGUAUUUAGGCAGCUACCAACAUACAAAGUUUUAUGUACCUUUUAAAAUUAUUUAUGUAUUUACUUUUAUUAUAGUUGAUUUACAAUGUUGCGCCAAUUUCUGCUUUAAGCAAAAUGACCCAGUCAUACAUAUAUAUACACCUUCUUUUUAUUAUAUUAUCUUCCAUCAUGGUCUAUCCCAAAAGAUUGGAUAUAGUUUUCCCUGUGCUAUUCAGUGGGAAUUGCAUGGCUUAUCCUUUGUAAAUGUGAUAGUUUCAUCUACUAAAUCCAAACUCCCAGUCCAUCCCACCCCCUACCCCCUCCCUCUUGGCAGCCACAAGUAUGUUCUGUAUGUCUGUGUGUCUAUUUCUGUCUUGUAGAUAGUUUCCUCUGUGUCAUAUCUUAGAUUCCACAUAUAAGUGAUAUCCUAUGGUAUCUGUCUUUCUCUUUCUAACCUCACUUAGUAUGGUAAUCUCUAGUUGCAUACAUGUUGCUGCAAAUAGCAUCAUUUUGUUCUUCGUGUAAUAGUUGAGUAGUAUUCCACUGUAUAUAUGUACCGAUCUGUUGAUGGACAUUUAGGUUGUUAUCAUGUCAUGGCUAUUGUGAGUAGUGAUGCUAUGAACAUAGGGGUGCAUGCAAAAUUUUAUAUACAUUUGUGAUAAAUGUGAACAAAUACAAAUGUAACUCUUAGGAGAAAAGUGGAAAUUUGAAAGAAGGUAGGGCAAACCAAAUGAUUUGCAGGAAUGCAAAUAAAGCAGGGGAAGUGUAGGAAGGGUGAGAUACUAGAAAGUAGAGAUUAGGAUAUCUUUUAUAGAACAUCUUUUAUUUCAUAUAAAUCCAUAACUUCCUGUUCCAGUUUUAUUCUUUCUGAACCUUUAAAAAUUAUUCACUUUCCCUGAAACAGACCUUGAAGGUCUUUAAAAGUGGUCUAUAACUAAGAAGGCAGACACUGGGCACUUGCAGCUAGCAAUUAAAAACCCUGUUGUGAUCUAUGUUGUUUUUGUUUUUAGAAAUUUAUUUAUUGUGGUAGGAAACAGUUAUCUACCUUCUUAACACAUUUUUAAAAUGCAUAAUACUGUAUUGUUAACUGCAGGCACAAUGUUGUACAGCAGAUCUUUAGAGCUUACUCAUUUUGUAUAACUAAAAUUUUAUAACUGUUUAAAAUCAACUCCCCAUUUCCCUCUCCUCCCAGCCCCUGGCAACCACUAUUCCAUUCUGCUUUUUUUUUAGUUUGACUAUUUUAGAUACUUCAUAUAAGUGAAAUUAUGCAGUAUUUGUUCUUCCAUGAUUGGCUUAUUUCACUUAGCAUAAUGUCUUCCAGGUUCAUCCAUGUUAUCAAAUAUGGCAGAAUUUUCCUUAUUUAAGGAUGAAUAAUAUUCCACUGAUUCAUAUACCACAUUUUCUUUAUUCAUUCAUUCACCAGUAGAUAUUUAGAUUAUUUCCACAUCUAGCUGUUGUGGAUAAUGCUGCAGUAAACAUGGGCAUUCAGGGAGUUUCUGCUGUGGUGCAGUGGAUUAAGGGUCUGAGUUUUCUCUGUGGCAUUGCUAGCUCAAUCCUCGGGCCUGGUGCAGUGAGUUAAGUAUCUGGCAUUGCCAGAGCUGUGGUAUAGGUCACAUAUACACUUAGGAUUUAAUCCCUGGCUUGGGAAACUUUCAUACACCCCAGGUGCAGCCAAAAAAAAAAAAAAAAAA